CUACGGGAGGCUGCAGUGGGGAAUAUUGCACAAUGGGCGCAAGCCUGAUGCAGCCAUGCCGCGUGUGUGAAGAAGGCCUUCGGGUUGUAAAGCACUUUCAGCGGGGAGGAAGGCGGUGAGGUUAAUAACCUCAUCGAUUGACGUUACCCGCAGAUGAAGCACCGGCUAACUCCGUGCCAGCAGCCGCGGUAAUACGGAGGGUGCAAGCGUUAAUCGGAAUUACUGGGCGUAAAGCGCACGCAGGCGGUCUGUCAAGUCGGAUGUGAAAUCCCCGGGCUCAACCUGGGAACUGCAUUCGAAACUGGCAGGCUAGAGUCUUGUAGAGGGGGGUAGAAUUCCAGGUGUAGCGGUGAAAUGCGUAGAGAUCUGGAGGAAUACCGGUGGCGAAGGCGGCCCCCUGGACAAAGACUGACGCUCAGGUGCGAAAGCGUGGGGAGCAAACAGGAUUAGAUACCCGGGUAGUC
This 464-nucleotide ribosomal RNA is filed under the name uncultured Klebsiella sp. Its description in RNAcentral is "bacterial SSU rRNA". It matches the Rfam family "Bacterial small subunit ribosomal RNA", at positions 339 to 795 of the family's 1533-position model. The record is from RNAcentral. Lineage: Bacteria; Pseudomonadati; Pseudomonadota; Gammaproteobacteria; Enterobacterales; Enterobacteriaceae.